GCGGGCGUGGUGGAAUGGUAGACACACGGGACUUAAAAUCCCGAGACCCUGGGUCGUGCGGGUUCGAGUCCCGCCGCCCGCACCA
This 85-nucleotide transfer RNA is filed under the name Rhizobium albus. Its description in RNAcentral is "tRNA-Leu". It matches the Rfam family "tRNA". Rfam says of the family: Transfer RNA (tRNA) molecules are approximately 80 nucleotides in length. Their secondary structure includes four short double-helical elements and three loops (D, anti-codon, and T loops). The record is from RNAcentral. RNAcentral also lists the same sequence under 2 other names. Lineage: Bacteria; Pseudomonadati; Pseudomonadota; Alphaproteobacteria; Hyphomicrobiales; Rhizobiaceae.